Molecule: long non-coding RNA, 1206 nt
Organism: Artibeus jamaicensis (Jamaican fruit-eating bat)
Lineage: Eukaryota; Metazoa; Chordata; Mammalia; Chiroptera; Phyllostomidae
Exons: 3
Source: RefSeq, a predicted model, not a curated record
UCCCCGCCCGCGUUGUGGCCAAUCGGAGGCCACCAAGCUGCGGCUGUAGCCGGCCGGAUCCACCGCAGCCGCCCGCCCCCGCCCUGCCGGAGCGCCCCGUUUUUGCUGCAGCCCAUGGGUGGGGGUUGUUGCCGGAGGGAAGCCUGGGGUGCGCAGAACACCGCCCCAGCAGGUGGAGGGGCUGUGGGAAAUAACUUGCUCGGGAACUUGAUUGGUGACAGGUUCCUCUUUGGACCAUAAGGAGGAAUCGUGUUUGAAAAUAAAUUCAGUGUUUUCAUGGAAAAUAUAAACAGGAGUGAGUCAUGCCAGAAAAAAACAAAAAAACAAAAACAGGACGUGGAAUUUGGACAAGAGCGUGGGAUGACAGCCUUUGAGCCUCCAGAACAGACAGGAAUGUCCACAAGACAAGGAUCCGGAUAAGUCAGAGUCCACUGAGGGCCAUUCAGUCUGUUCUCUCCCAGAGAUCUGCCCAUCUCUUCUGAAGAGCAAGUCAUCACUGGCACCAGAAUAACGUCCCUCUGAGAUGCUCACCAGUGGGAAUGUGGGCUGGUAUUCUCAGUUCUCAAAUUGUUUCCUCAACAAAUAUUAGAAACCUGUCUAUACUUCAAAAAUUCCUGUCAUAUUAUUUUUAUGAAGGUGGAGACGAUGUAAAAUGGCUCUUUCUAGUUUAUAGCCUUUCUUUAAGUCAAAAAUAGGCAAUAUCCAUAUGUUAAUGAGACAGUGUAAAAGCAUUAGCUGAAGAAGGUCUAUAUUAUUUUUAAUUUUUUCUCAUUUUCUGGAACUUCUUUUUUUGCAUGUAGAACUUCACAGAUUGAUCAUAAAUUUUCUUAUCUCUCUCGCCCCUCCUUUCUCUCUUUCUUUCAAAGAAAUAUUUUGGGAAAUUUCCUUAGCUUUAACUUCCAGCCUCUCUGUUAAAUAUUUUGCCAUAUUUUUUAUUUUCAAGAGAUUUGAACUUUUUUUGGUGGUUUGUUUCAUAGAAACUUGUUCUUGUGUCAUGGAUGUGACAGUCUCUCUCUUUAUACAUUGUUUAAAAGUUAUUUAAAACAAUUAUCUUGGUUUGAUAGCAGCAUUAACUUGGUUUUCUCUCUGUUGCUUUCUUGCAGUGUUUAUAUCUGCCUUUCAUGUUUGAGAGAUACUUUGUUGGGGGAAUUAUGUUUCGUAUACACUUUAGAAUUUCAUUUAAUCCUCCCAGUUUUAAAUAAGCCA